AUGAACGCUGGCGGUGUGGCUAAGGCAUGCAAGUCGAGGGGGCACUCCACUUAGAUCAUGAUGACGAAGUCAUCGCGCACUAAGUGGAGUGUCACCGGCAGACGAGGUAGUAACACGUAGGAACGAACCGCGAAGUCAGGGACAACCCAUCGAAAGAUGGGCUAAUACUUGAUAGUCUCGAAAGAGUAAAGAUUUAUCGCUUCGUGAUCGGCCUGCGGAAUAUCAGCUAGUUGGUAGGGUAAUGGCCUACCAAGGCUAUGACGUUUAGGAGAGCUGAGAGGCUGACCUCCACCGAUGGGACUGCGACACGGCCCAUACACCUACGGGUGGCUGCAGUCGAGAAUCUUCCACAAUGGACGAAAGUCUGAUGGAGCGACACCGCGUGACUGAUGACGCCUUUCGGGGUGUAAAGGUCUUUUAUGAGGGAUGACAUUGCGACAGUACCUCAUGAAUAAGGGGCUGCUAAUCACGU
This 472-nucleotide ribosomal RNA is filed under the name uncultured bacterium. RNAcentral describes it as "partial 16S ribosomal RNA". It matches the Rfam family "Bacterial small subunit ribosomal RNA", at positions 29 to 506 of the family's 1533-position model. The record is from RNAcentral.